Haliotis rubra (blacklip abalone) is the source of this 125-nucleotide long non-coding RNA. RefSeq lists it as uncharacterized. The transcript is spliced from 3 exons. Lineage: Eukaryota; Metazoa; Mollusca; Gastropoda; Lepetellida; Haliotidae. The record is from RefSeq and is a predicted model, not a curated record.
UUUUGGAUGAUGUGACGAGAUCAAAGGGGGGGCUAAUUUUAUGAAAAGUAUUAAAAAUCAAAAUGAAAUUGUAGUUAUGGUAAGGUAGAAAUGGUUUCGUCUUGAAAAAAGUUCAAGCCCCAAGC